RNAcentral lists this ribosomal RNA (2931 nucleotides) under Staphylococcus epidermidis. RNAcentral describes it as "23S ribosomal RNA". It matches the Rfam family "Bacterial large subunit ribosomal RNA". Lineage: Bacteria; Bacillati; Bacillota; Bacilli; Caryophanales; Staphylococcaceae. The record is from RNAcentral.
AGAUUAAGUUAUUAAGGGCGCACGGUGGAUGCCUUGGCACUAGAAGCCGAUGAAGGACGUUACUAACGACGAUAUGCUUUGGGUAGCUGUAAGUAAGCGUUGAUCCAGAGAUUUCCGAAUGGGGGAACCCAGCAUGAGUUAUGUCAUGUUAUCGACAUGUGAAUUCAUAGCAUGUCAGAAGGCAGACCCGGAGAACUGAAACAUCUUAGUACCCGGAGGAAGAGAAAGAAAAAUCGAUUCCCUGAGUAGCGGUGAGCGAAACGGGAAGAGCCCAAACCAACAAGCUUGCUUGUUGGGGUUGUAGGACACUCUAUACGGAGUUACAAAAGAACAUGUUAGAUGAAUCAUCUGGAAAGAUGAAUCAAAGAAGGUAAUAAUCCUGUAGUCGAAAACAUAUUCUCUCUUGAGUGGAUCCUGAGUACGACGGAGCACGUGAAAUUCCGUCGGAAUCUGGGAGGACCAUCUCCUAAGGCUAAAUACUCUCUAGUGACCGAUAGUGAACCAGUACCGUGAGGGAAAGGUGAAAAGUACCCCGGAAGGGGAGUGAAAGAGAACUUGAAACCGUGUGCUUACAAGUAGUCAGAGCCCGUUAAUGGGUGAUGGCGUGCCUUUUGUAGAAUGAACCGGCGAGUUACGAUUUGAUGCAAGGUUAAGCAGCAAAUGUGGAGCCGCAGCGAAAGCGAGUCUGAAUAGGGCGUUGAGUAUUUGGUCGUAGACCCGAAACCAGGUGAUCUACCCUUGGUCAGGUUGAAGUUCAGGUAACACUGAAUGGAGGACCGAACCGACUUACGUUGAAAAGUGAGCGGAUGAACUGAGGGUAGCGGAGAAAUUCCAAUCGAACUUGGAGAUAGCUGGUUCUCUCCGAAAUAGCUUUAGGGCUAGCCUCAAGUGAUGAUUAUUGGAGGUAGAGCACUGUUUGGACGAGGGGCCCCUCUCGGGUUACCGAAUUCAGACAAACUCCGAAUGCCAAUUAAUUUAACUUGGGAGUCAGAACAUGGGUGAUAAGGUCCGUGUUCGAAAGGGAAACAGCCCAGACCACCAGCUAAGGUCCCAAAAUAUAUGUUAAGUGGAAAAGGAUGUGGCGUUGCCCAGACAACUAGGAUGUUGGCUUAGAAGCAGCCAUCAUUUAAAGAGUGCGUAAUAGCUCACUAGUCGAGUGACACUGCGCCGAAAAUGUACCGGGGCUAAACAUAUUACCGAAGCUGUGGAUUGUCCUUUGGACAAUGGUAGGAGAGCGUUCUAAGGGCGUCGAAGCAUGAUCGCAAGGACAUGUGGAGCGCUUAGAAGUGAGAAUGCCGGUGUGAGUAGCGAAAGACGGGUGAGAAUCCCGUCCACCGAUUGACUAAGGUUUCCAGAGGAAGGCUCGUCCGCUCUGGGUUAGUCGGGUCCUAAGCUGAGGCCGACAGGCGUAGGCGAUGGAUAACAGGUUGAUAUUCCUGUACCACCUAGUAUCGUUUUAAUCGAUGGGGGGACGCAGUAGGAUAGGCGAAGCGUGCUGUUGGAGUGCACGUCCAAGCAGUAAGGCUGAGUGUUAGGCAAAUCCGGCACUCAUAAGGCUGAGCUGUGAUGGGGAGAGGAAAUUGUUUCCUCGAGUCGUUGAUUUCACACUGCCGAGAAAAGCCUCUAGAUAGAUAACAGGUGCCCGUACCGCAAACCGACACAGGUAGUCAAGAUGAGAAUUCUAAGGUGAGCGAGCGAACUCUCGUUAAGGAACUCGGCAAAAUGACCCCGUAACUUCGGGAGAAGGGGUGCUCUUUAGGGUUCACGCCCAGAAGAGCCGCAGUGAAUAGGCCCAAGCGACUGUUUAUCAAAAACACAGGUCUCUGCUAAACCGUAAGGUGAUGUAUAGGGGCUGACGCCUGCCCGGUGCUGGAAGGUUAAGAGGAGUGGUUAGCUUCUGCGAAGCUACGAAUCGAAGCCCCAGUAAACGGCGGCCGUAACUAUAACGGUCCUAAGGUAGCGAAAUUCCUUGUCGGGUAAGUUCCGACCCGCACGAAAGGCGUAACGAUUUGGGCACUGUCUCAACGAGAGACUCGGUGAAAUCAUAGUACCUGUGAAGAUGCAGGUUACCCGCGACAGGACGGAAAGACCCCGUGGAGCUUUACUGUAGCCUGAUAUUGAAAUUCGGCACAGCUUGUACAGGAUAGGUAGGAGCCUUUGAAACGUGAGCGCUAGCUUACGUGGAGGCGUUGGUGGGAUACUACCCUAGCUGUGUUGGCUUUCUAACCCGCACCACUUAUCGUGGUGGGAGACAGUGUCAGGCGAGCAGUUUGACUGGGGCGGUCGCCUCCUAAAAGGUAACGGAGGCGCUCAAAGGUUCCCUCAGAAUGGUUGGAAAUCAUUCAUAGAGUGUAAAGGCAUAAGGGAGCUUGACUGCGAGACCUACAAGUCGAGCAGGGUCGAAAGACGGACUUAGUGAUCCGGUGGUUCCGCAUGGAAGGGCCAUCGCUCAACGGAUAAAAGCUACCCCGGGGAUAACAGGCUUAUCUCCCCCAAGAGUUCACAUCGACGGGGAGGUUUGGCACCUCGAUGUCGGCUCAUCGCAUCCUGGGGCUGUAGUCGGUCCCAAGGGUUGGGCUGUUCGCCCAUUAAAGCGGUACGCGAGCUGGGUUCAGAACGUCGUGAGACAGUUCGGUCCCUAUCCGUCGUGGGCGUAGGAAAUUUGAGAGGAGCUGUCCUUAGUACGAGAGGACCGGGAUGGACAUACCUCUGGUGUACCAGUUGUCGUGCCAACGGCAUAGCUGGGUAGCUAUGUAUGGACGGGAUAAGUGCUGAAAGCAUCUAAGCAUGAAGCCCCCCUCAAGAUGAGAUUUCCCAACUUCGGUUAUAAGAUCCCUCGAAGAUGACGAGGUUAAUAGGUUCGAGGUGGAAGCGUGGUGACACGUGGAGCUGACGAAUACUAAUCGAUCGAAGACUUAAUCAAUUUUUAAA